This 71-nucleotide transfer RNA is filed under the name Toxocara canis (dog roundworm). It matches the Rfam family "tRNA". Rfam says of the family: Transfer RNA (tRNA) molecules are approximately 80 nucleotides in length. Their secondary structure includes four short double-helical elements and three loops (D, anti-codon, and T loops). Lineage: Eukaryota; Metazoa; Nematoda; Chromadorea; Rhabditida; Toxocaridae. The record is from Rfam by way of RNAcentral.
GCGGCAAUAGCUCAGUGGUAGAGCCCCGCUUUGUGUGCGGAGAGACCCGGGUUCGAUUCCAGGCUGCUUCC